Molecule: ribosomal RNA, 465 nt
Filed under: uncultured bacterium
Lineage: Bacteria
Description: partial 16S ribosomal RNA
Rfam family: Bacterial small subunit ribosomal RNA
Source: RNAcentral
GACGAACGCUGGCGGCGUGCUUAACACAUGCAAGUCGAACGGAAAGGCCCCUUUUGGGGAACUGGUGUGGCGGACGGGCGGGUAACACGCGCGUAACCUGCCCUCGUCUUCGGGAGAACUUCAGGAAACUGGGUCCAAUCCCGGCUAGGAAUCCUUGCUGCAUGGCGGGGGUUGGUAAGCUACGGCGGUUUUGGCUGGACGCGCGGCGUAUCAGCUUGUUGGUGGGGGAGUGGCUUACCACGGCGUUGACGGGUAGCCGGCCGGAGAGGGCGACGGGCCGCAUUGGGGCUGAGAUACGGCCCAGACUCCUACGGGGGGCAGCAGUGGGGAAGAUUGCAGGAUGGGCGGGAGCCGGAUGCAGCAGCGCCGCGUGCGGGAUGACGGCCUUCGGGUUGUAAUCCGGUUUCAGCAGGGGCGAAGCUUGUGGUGACGGUACCUGCAGAAGAAGCACCGGCUAACUACGUG